UUAAAAUAAAUUUAAUUAAUUUAUUAGCAUUAAAUUAUUAAAAUUAAUUAAAAUAAUAAUUUAUUUAAAAGUUAAAGUAUAUUGUAAAGAAAUAAUUAUUUAAUUUAUAGAAAUUAGUAUUGAAAAAGAUUAUUGAAAUAUUAGAAAAUAGAUUAAAGUAAAAGUAAAAUUAAUUUUUUUUAUCUUGUGUAUCAGAGUUUAUUUAAAAAAUAUUAAUAAAUUUAAUUUUCUUGAAAUUAAAAGAUUUAAUUAAUUAUAUUAGUUAUUGUUGAAUUAAUAUUAAAUAUAAUUAAUUUGAAAUGAAACGUUAUUCGUUUUUAAUUAUAUCUAGUUUUUUAAGAAAUAAAUUUAAUUUAGAUAUUUAUUAGUAUAAUUUUAAUCAAUUUAUUUUAUAUAGUUAAUAAAUAUUAAUAUUUUAAGGGAUAAGCUUUAAUUUAAAUUGUUAUAUUAAUUAUUUAAUUAAUAAAAAUUUUUAAAAUUAAAAUUGUUUAUUAAAUUUAGUUUAUUAUAAAAAAUUUUUAUAAAAUUUAAUUUAAAAUUAUUUAUUAAUAAAAUUCAUUAAAAAAUUUAUUAUAAUAAUAUUAAUAAAAUUUAUAUGAUAAAAUUAGUAUAAUAUUAAUAUAUAUAUAUAUAUAUAUAAUUUAGGUUAAUUUAAGGAAUUCGGCAAAUUAUAUAUAUAUAUAUAUUCGCUUGUUUAACAAAAACAUGUCUUUUUGAUUGAUAAUUUAAAGUCUAAUCUGCCCACUGAAUUUAAUUUAAAGGGCUGCAGUAUAUUGACUGUGCAAAGGUAGCAUAAUAAAUAGUUUUUUGAUUGAGAACUUGUAUGAACGAUUGAACGAAAUAUUUUCUGUCUCAAAUUAAUUUUUUUAAAAUUUAUUUUUUUAGUUAAAAAACUGAAAUAAAUUUAAAAGACGAGAAGACCCCAUAGAUCUUAUAUAUUUAUAUUAAUUUUAUAUAAUAUAAAAUUUUUAAAAAUUUAAUAUAAAUAUUUUUUUGGGGUGAAAUAAAAAUUAAAUUAACUUUAUAUUUAUAAAUGUUUACAUAAAUUAAUGAAUAUUUGAUCCAAUUAUAUUGAUUAAAAGAUUAAGUUACCUUGGGGAUAACAGCGUUAUAUUUUUUAUUAGUACUUAUUAUAAAAAAUGAUUGCGACCUCGAUGUUGGAUUAAAAUUAGUUUAAAAUGAAGAUGUUUUAAAUUUUAGUCUGUUCGACUUUUAUAUUUUACAUGAUCUGAGUUCAGACCGGCGUGAGCCAGGUUGGUUUCUAUCUUUAAAUAAUUAAAUUAUUAUAGUACGAAAGGACCCAAUAAUUAAAAUAAUUUUUUAUUAAUUGAAUAAAAUUAAUUAG
Molecule: ribosomal RNA, 1345 nt
Filed under: Glossosoma caudatum
Lineage: Eukaryota; Metazoa; Arthropoda; Insecta; Trichoptera; Glossosomatidae
Description: 16S ribosomal RNA
Source: RNAcentral